Small nucleolar RNA from Oncorhynchus mykiss (rainbow trout), 137 nucleotides. NCBI's taxonomy places the organism in Eukaryota, Metazoa, Chordata, Actinopteri, Salmoniformes, Salmonidae. The record is from Ensembl.
ACAGGCACCUAUCGAAGCCGUUCCUGCUCAUUUUGUAGCGGACUCGGUCAACAGGAUGCCGAAAACAUUACUUUCACCGACGGUCGCUGUGCAGUUCCACAAUAACUGACACCGCAACAUUAAGGGGAAGGACAUUC